ACGUAUGGGGCAAGCGUUAUCCGGAUUUACUGGGUGUAAAGGGAGCGUAGGCGGUAUGGCAAGUCAGAAGUGAAAGCCUGGGGCUCAACCCCGGAAUUGCUUUUGAAACUGUCAAACUAGAGUGUCGGAGGGGUAAGCGGAAUUCCUAGUGUAGCGGUGAAAUGCGUAGAUAUUAGGAGGAACACCGGUGGCGAAGGCGGCUUACUGGACGACCACUGACGCUGAGGCUCGAAAGCGUGGGGAGCAAACAG
Molecule: ribosomal RNA, 251 nt
Filed under: uncultured bacterium
Lineage: Bacteria
Description: partial 16S ribosomal RNA
Rfam family: Bacterial small subunit ribosomal RNA
Source: RNAcentral